GGGAAUAUGGUUUAAUAGUGGAGUGCUUGCCUAGCAUGCAUGAAGCCCUGGGUUCAAUUUCCCAGUACCA
This 70-nucleotide transfer RNA is filed under the name Dipodomys ordii (Ord's kangaroo rat). It matches the Rfam family "tRNA". From Rfam's summary of the family: Transfer RNA (tRNA) molecules are approximately 80 nucleotides in length. Lineage: Eukaryota; Metazoa; Chordata; Mammalia; Rodentia; Heteromyidae. The record is from Rfam by way of RNAcentral.